UACAGAGGGGGCAAGCGUUGUUCGGAAUUACUGGGCGUAAAGGGCGCGUAGGCGGCCUUCUAAGUCGAGCGUGAAAUCCCCGGGCUCAACCCGGGAACUGCGUCCGAUACUGGAAGGCUUGAAUCCGGGAGAGGGAUGUGGAAUUCCAGGUGUAGCGGUGAAAUGCGUAGAUAUCUGGAGGAACACCGGUGGCGAAGGCGACAUCCUGGACCGGUAUUGACGCUGAGGCGCGAAAGCCAGGGGAGCAAACGGG
This 253-nucleotide ribosomal RNA is filed under the name uncultured bacterium. Its description in RNAcentral is "partial 16S ribosomal RNA". It matches the Rfam family "Bacterial small subunit ribosomal RNA", at positions 524 to 776 of the family's 1533-position model. The record is from RNAcentral.